RNAcentral lists this ribosomal RNA (511 nucleotides) under uncultured bacterium. RNAcentral's name for it is "bacterial SSU rRNA". It matches the Rfam family "Bacterial small subunit ribosomal RNA", at positions 16 to 507 of the family's 1533-position model. The record is from RNAcentral.
AUCCUGGCUCAGAACGAACGUUGGCGGCGUGGAUGAGGCAUGCAAGUCGAACGCGUAAAGCCGCAAGGCGAGUAAAGUGGCGGACGGGCGAGUAACACGUAAUCAAGCUACCUGCGAGACGGGGAUAACUUCGGGAAACCGAAGCUAAGACCCGAUGGUCUUCUAGGAACGCAUGUUCCAUGAAGUAAAUGGGCGGGAUCCUCCGGGAUCGCCUGCUCGCAGAGGUGAUUGCGGCCCAUCAGCUAGUUGGUAGGGUAAUGGCCUACCAAGGCAACGACGGGUAGCCGGCCUUAGAGGGUGGUCGGCCGCACUGGGACUGAGACACUGCCCAGACUCCUACGGGAGGCUGCAGUCGAGAAUCUUCCGCAAUGGGCGCAAGCCUGACGGAGCGACGCCGCGUGGAGGACGAAGGCCUUAGGGUUGUAAACUCCUGUCGAGGGUUAUGAAUGGCGUUUGGUGAACAGCCGAACGAGUGACGUAAGCCCUGGAGGAAGCACCGGCUAACUCUGUG